UACGAAGGGGGCUAGCGUUGCUCGGAAUCACUGGGCGUAAAGCGCACGUAGGCGGCUUUCUAAGUCAGGGGUGAAAUCCUGGAGCUCAACUCCAGAACUGCCUUUGAUACUGGGAAGCUCGAGUCCGGAAGAGGUGAGUGGAACUCCGAGUGUAGAGGUGAAAUUCGUAGAUAUUCGGAAGAACACCAGUGGCGAAGGCGGCGCACUGGUCCGGUACUGACGCUGAGGUGCGAAAGCGUGGGGAGCAAACAGG
RNAcentral lists this ribosomal RNA (253 nucleotides) under uncultured bacterium. Its description in RNAcentral is "partial 16S ribosomal RNA". It matches the Rfam family "Bacterial small subunit ribosomal RNA", at positions 524 to 776 of the family's 1533-position model. The record is from RNAcentral.